UAAAACGGAUGUAGCUGAUACAGUUGGUCACUUUCUGGCUGUUGUUUCUUCCUUCUUGACCUCUUCUGCUUUGGCAGAAAGGUGAAGAUCACAGUUCAUCCACAAUACAGUGGUAUAAACUGAGCCAGAGUGCAGUUUCAGAUGCUGGCAGUGAUCCCCAUUGGGACCAAUAGCCAUUAUGACUUUGAGGUCAAGAUAACAGCCCAGAUGUGCAGUUAGCCAGACCAGCAGGAAAACCCAAAGAAUCCAGUGUGAUUUUCUGGAAUUUGAAUUGAAGAAAACUAACUGGAGAUGUACAAAAAGUAUAGGAUUUUGCAGCCAUGAACAAAGCCUGGAUGAAAGCUAUCACUAUCCAACCUGCCCCCUUUGGGAAAGAGAACAAGACACAACUGGGUUACAAUUUAGAAACAACUGUAAUGCCAGAGAAACUGAGGCAUGAUAGAGAUUAGAGAGUUUUUUAAAAAAUAUUUUAUUAAAUGGAGAGCAUAAUUGACUGGACAGGACUUUCAUCUCAAAGUAUCCAGCAAUAAAUGGGAAAAUCCCAAAUCCUUAUAUACCUUUUACAAACAAAGCAGGAAACUUCUUCACAGACCCAUUUGGUUCUGUCAGGAUGGGGGGAGGCCAUAAAUUCUUACUAAAAGCCAGAGUCAGGAUGUUUGAAUAAACAGAAGUAAAGAUGUCAAUGAGGUAUCUGGGAUAGUCUUAUCUUUUGGAAUAUUUUAGAGGGAUGGUGUCUUAAAUUCUUGAGGACAGAAGGAGUUAGAAGUCAGGAAAUCUGAUCUCUCCCUUAUCUUGAGUCAUAUAUUGACAAUUUAUAACCUUAAAGCAAAUGGUCCUCUGUCUUAAUGGACCAGAGUGGGGGGUUUACAACUAAGGGGAUUGAGGCAGAACAGUUAAGGGAACUGAGAUAGAACAAUUCAGGGAAACUCAGUCAGGACAAUGAGGGAAACUAGUACAGGGAAACUGAGGUAGAACAGUUCAAAGAGACUGUGGCAUAACACAACAAUGAAGAUAAUGAAAAUGAAGAUAACAAAGAAAAAAAAGGAAUAUCCUCUUGCCCCCCCCCCCCAAAAAAAAAAAAAGACAUUAUUUUUUCACUAUUGAUGAAGCUGGAGAAACUAUAAGCUGAAAACUGAAACAGGAGAAAUCCACACUAGGUAUUAUAAUGUUAUCACUCGUGGAUAAUAACUGCAGUUCUGUGUUUCUCAGUACAACUCAGGCAAAGAUAGAAUAUAAGGCAAGUUAAUUUUAGUCUUUCAUUUAAUAUUUUUUAUGCAUGUUGGAAAGAAGAUUCUAAGGAUGGGAUUCUAAGGAUAAGUUCUAACUAGAUACAUCAAUUCUUUCUUGUAGGGGAACUUGAGCUUCAUUCAUUCAAUCAGCAAAUUCCCAGAUUCGUUUAUUUAUUUAGAUUUUUUUGGACUAAACAAAAGAGGAGAUUCUUUGCUUCAAUUGCUACCUAUCCUUAAUCACUGAAUGUGUGUGGCCUUAGUCAAACUGAGACCUGUUGAAGACCUUAACUUAAAAAGGCCAAUGUCUCCCAUUGUAUCAAGGGCCAUAUCCAGUCAUCUUGAUCUAUAUUUUACCACUGGAUCCAAAUGGCUUUGGAGGGGAAGGUGAGGCAGAUGACCUUGCACAGCCUUUCUAACUUAAAUCCAAUUCAUUUGCAUGUCAUGGCAUCACUUCCUUGAUAUCAUAGUCCUCUUCAAAAACGAAGGACAAACAACAACCUUUGAGAUAAGAUCUGUUUUAUUCUUGUUUUUGUAUCAUCAUUGUCUAGCACAAAUCUUGGAACAUAGCAGACACUUAACAAAUGCUUGUAGAUUAUUUACUAAACACCCACUGUGUGCUAAACUUAAUGGGAAAUACAAAAUUUAGCAGUUACAGCCCGAUACAGGGUAAGACACAAACACAAAUAAUUAUGUAAAGCAGGUUUCCACUGAAGACUCAGGGUGAGGUUUCUAUUGAUUUAGUCUUUUUAAUUCACAAGAUUACAUUAGAGAGGUGCAAAAUGAAAUCUGAGAUAUGACGAUCCUUCUAACCCUGACCAGGCUUCCUUAAGAAGAGAGCUUUAAAAUUCAAUUUGAAAGAAUAAGUACCAAGUCAACAGACUAAAAAGGAGGAGGAAAGGAGUUGUUAGAACAGGUAGUUUAGAAAGGUUCAUCAAUCAAUCCACCAGUAAGCAUUUUUUUAAGCUCCUAAAAUGUGCCAAGCAGGGUACUAGACGUUGGGUAUAUACAAAGACAAAAAUGAAAUCGUCCCUGACUUCUAUAAACUAAAUUCCUCCAGAAGUUGAAGUGAAGGAACAAUGUCUACACAUUCGCUGAGCAGUCUAUCUAGAAAAAAGUUACAAAAUAACGUGGGCAGAAAAAAGGCAUUAAUCAGUCUCCGAAAAUCACUAGUUUCUAGUUUCCAACUCAGGCCUUCUCUGGGCUCCUCUGUCCAAUGGUGUUCUCUCUCCGUCUAUUUCCCCUUUUAUCUACCUCACCCCAACCCCGCACUGAUAGGAAUCGCUUUAUUUUCUCCCGAGUCUUUACUUGGGAUUGAACCCUGAACUUCUUCAAGAGCUCUUUGAUAUCCUCAGUGUUUGUUUUCUGGCAAGUUGUCUUCAGUUGCCUUCUCGUAACAGUUGGACUUCAGUUCCUGGCACAAGCGCUUUGGGGUCUACACGCUCCCACUGGCAGCGCACUCAUAGUUGUUACCCCGAGCAGCGCCACUGCAAUUCAAGUGACUGACGCCACUGUAACAGCCAAGGUGAUUUGACUGCCUAUCACCGUGCGGCAGCACAUCGCCAUUCAGUCACAUCAUCCUGGCUUAGUCUGGUAGGAUAUGUUCCCCAAAGAGUCCCUCUGGUCCUGGGCACAAGAGCCAGUCACCACCUUCCACCCUCCCUCCCUCCCUCCCCCUCCACCCUGCCUGAGAGCUCAGGAAGUAGCCCAGAGGGAAGAGGAUCAAGGCUGGAACUAGAAAGAAGACAAGUGGGACAGGUUCCAAGUAGCACUGCAGGGACAUUGGAACACCACCUUGGAGAAGAGGCUCUCCCCACCAGUUGUUAAGAAGCUCAAAAACCCCAUUCCCAACACCCUGUGGUGUUUGAUGCACAGGUCCAGAAAACAUGAAAUUUUUCCAUGACUUUUCUCUUUUGUCUUUCUCCUCACACCUGGACCAAUGAAGCAGAUGUGGGUUGCCUCUGCCUGGUUUCCUCAGCCCGAUCCGGACUUUAUUACUAGGGAAAGGAAAUGAGGGAAGGCAUGUGUUUAGGAAAAAUGGUAUUCUACUGUUUAUUAAAGGAAGUAUUCUGUAA
Molecule: long non-coding RNA, 3301 nt
Organism: Antechinus flavipes (yellow-footed antechinus)
Lineage: Eukaryota; Metazoa; Chordata; Mammalia; Dasyuromorphia; Dasyuridae
Exons: 3
Source: RefSeq, a predicted model, not a curated record